GGCUGGUCCAAAGGUAGUGAGUUAUCUCACUUGAUUGUUCACAGUCAGUUACAGAUUGAACUCCUUGUUCUACUCUUUCCCCCCUUCUCACUACUGCACUUGACUAAUAAAA
Molecule: Y RNA, 112 nt
Filed under: Otolemur garnettii (small-eared galago)
Lineage: Eukaryota; Metazoa; Chordata; Mammalia; Primates; Galagidae
Rfam family: Y RNA
About the family: Y RNAs are components of the Ro ribonucleoprotein particle (Ro RNP), in association with Ro60 and La proteins. The Y RNAs and Ro60 and La proteins are well conserved, but the function of the Ro RNP is not known.
Source: Rfam by way of RNAcentral